RNAcentral lists this ribosomal RNA (449 nucleotides) under Bacillus sp. a19. Its description in RNAcentral is "bacterial SSU rRNA". It matches the Rfam family "Bacterial small subunit ribosomal RNA", at positions 919 to 1370 of the family's 1533-position model. The record is from RNAcentral. Lineage: Bacteria; Bacillati; Bacillota; Bacilli; Caryophanales; Bacillaceae.
GCCCGCACAAGCGGUGGAGCAUGUGGUUUAAUUCGAAGCAACGCGAAGAACCUUACCAGGUCUUGACAUCCUCUGAAAACCCUAGAGAUAGGGCUUCUCCUUCGGGAGCAGAGUGACAGGUGGUGCAUGGUUGUCGUCAGCUCGUGUCGUGAGAUGUUGGGUUAAGUCCCGCAACGAGCGCAACCCUUGAUCUUAGUUGCCAUCAUUAAGGUGGGCACUUUAAGGUGACUGCCCGUGACAAACCGGAGGAAGGUGGGGAUGACGUCCAAUCCUCCUUCCCCUUAUGACCUGGGCUACCCCCGUGCUUCCAUGGGCGGUACAAAGAGCUGCCAGCCCCCGAGGUGCAACUAAUCUCAUAAAACCGUUUUCAGUUCGGAUUGUAGGUUGCAACUCCCCUUCCUGAAGCUGGAAUCCCUUAGUAUCGCGGAUCUUCAUUAUAUAUAGAAACG